Stegodyphus dumicola is the source of this 1061-nucleotide long non-coding RNA. The record is from RefSeq and is a predicted model, not a curated record. NCBI's taxonomy places the organism in Eukaryota, Metazoa, Arthropoda, Arachnida, Araneae, Eresidae.
GGAAUACGCGCCAAGCGUGCAGACCACUACACCAUGACGGCACGCUAAGAAGGCGGGUAACCUGAUUCCGAAAAACUGGAGGCGUUCGUUAAGAAACGAAGUGGCUGCCCAUUUCUUUUGAGUUCGGAUGUGAGAAAAGACUCAUUUCUAUCCUGGUGGGAGCUGACGAAAGCAAAAGUGAAAUUAUAGAUCUGGUGACGUGAAAUUGGAAGAGAAGAAGAAGCUGCUGAGUAGAAGAAGUUUAAGGAUUUGAGAUACAGAUGAAUUUACUCCAUAGUAUAAGGAUAACUAAAGAUUUAGGAAAUAGGGAGUAGUAUUCAAGAUGAUAUAGCUAAUGAAGGACUACUUAAUCGUUUAUGGAAAGGCAGAAGAAGGAGGCGUCAAAGGAAAAAGAUUUUAAAGGGAAAAGGUAUAAGAUUGCAAAUAAAGAUUUCAAAGGAAAGGCAGAAGAAGGCGGCUUCAAAGGAAAAAUAUUUAAACGGAAAAAGUAUAAAAUAACAAAUAAAGGUUUUAAAAAGAAAAAGGAAAUUUUUCUGUAGAAGAUGGAAAGAAUGUGUUAACAAGUAUUUCAUAAAGAUGGAUUUCUUAUUCGCUAUAUUAAGUAAAAAGAUAAAGGAUAUAUAGGAAGAAAAUACACGUAAAAUGGAGGAAAGAAAUUAAGAUAGAAGAAAGGAAGAUUUAACGAAGAUUAAAUGAAAGGAAGAUUAAAGGAAAGAGAAGAACGAAGAAAAGAAGAAGAAAGAAAGAGAAGAACUUCUUGAAGAAGAACGAGGGAAUAAGUUUCAAACGUUUUUUACUAAGGACAAAUUUCGAUAUGUUAUAAAGAAUUACUUACAAAGAUACACUUCAUGAAGGACUAUAAAGUACUACUUUAAGAUUUUUAUUUUUAUUUUUUUUAUAUGGCACUAUAUGGCAAUGUAAAAACUAUUACUUGUUUUGUAAUGUAAAAACUAUUACAAUGUUUACUAUUACUUGUUAGAAUGUAAAAUUGAAUUUAUUAAUAAAUACUAGAUAAGGGUGGACGUGGGCAGAACCGAUUAACCGUAAUGGUAGAGGGAAAU